CCCCUCUCAGGGUCACACCUGAAGACUUCCCAGUACUCUACCAGUCUUGGCUAUGGGAGGGAGAGUCAAGCAGAGGCCUAUCCAUUCCUUGCCUAGCUUGGGCGGUGGCUAGCGAGUGGAAGGCAAUCUGCUACAAGU
Molecule: small nucleolar RNA, 138 nt
Organism: Ornithorhynchus anatinus (platypus)
Lineage: Eukaryota; Metazoa; Chordata; Mammalia; Monotremata; Ornithorhynchidae
Source: RefSeq, a predicted model, not a curated record